Molecule: ribosomal RNA, 477 nt
Filed under: Candidatus Brocadia fulgida
Lineage: Bacteria; Pseudomonadati; Planctomycetota; Candidatus Brocadiia; Candidatus Brocadiales; Candidatus Brocadiaceae
Description: bacterial SSU rRNA
Rfam family: Bacterial small subunit ribosomal RNA
Source: RNAcentral
UUCGCAAUGCCCGAAAGGGUGACGAAGCGACGCCGCGUGCGGGAAGAAGGCCUUCGGGUUGUAAACCGCUGUCGGGAGUUAAGAAAUGUAAGGAUGUUAAUAGCAUCUUUGCUUGACUAAGGCUCCGGAGGAAGCCACGGCUAACUCUGUGCCAGCAGCCGCGGUAAUACAGAGGCGGCAAGCGUUGUUCGGAAUUAUUAGGCGUAAAGAGCACGUAGGCGGCUAUGUAAGUCGGUUGUGAAAGCCUUCCGCUCAACGGGAGAACAGCAUCCGAUACUGCAUGGCUUGAGUGCGGGAGGGGAGAGUGGAACUUCUGGUGGAGCGGUGAAAUGCGUAGAUAUCAGAAGGAACGCCGGCUGCGAAAGCGGCUCUCUGGCCCAUAACUGACGCUGAGUGUGCGAAAGCUAGGGGAGCAAACGGGAUUAGAUACCCCGGUAGUCCUAGCCGUAAACGAUGGGCACUAAGUAGAGGGGUUUU